RNAcentral lists this ribosomal RNA (305 nucleotides) under uncultured bacterium. RNAcentral describes it as "bacterial SSU rRNA". It matches the Rfam family "Bacterial small subunit ribosomal RNA", at positions 335 to 631 of the family's 1533-position model. The record is from RNAcentral.
UGUACCUACGGGACGCAGCAGUAGGGAAUCUUCCACAAUGGGCGAAAGCCUGAUGGAGCAACGCCGCGUGGGUGAAGAAGGUCUUCGGAUCGUAAAACCCUGUUGUUAGAGAAGAAAGUGCGUGAGAGUAACUGUUCACGUUUCGACGGUAUCUAACCAGAAAGCCACGGCUAACUACGUGCCAGCAGCCGCGGUAAUACGUAGGUGGCAAGCGUUAUCCGGAUUUAUUGGGCGUAAAGGGAACGUAGGCGGUCUUUUAAGUCUGAUGUGAAAGCUUUAGGAUUAACCGGAGUAGUGCAUUGGAA